CAAUGAAUUUAAGAUUCAUAUAUAAAGAUAAUUUUUUUAUUGGAA
Molecule: transfer RNA, 45 nt
Filed under: Tibicinoides catalina
Lineage: Eukaryota; Metazoa; Arthropoda; Insecta; Hemiptera; Cicadidae
Description: Okanagana catalina partial tRNA-Leu
Source: RNAcentral